RNAcentral lists this transfer RNA (82 nucleotides) under Verrucomicrobiota bacterium. RNAcentral describes it as "Verrucomicrobia bacterium tRNA-OTHER". Lineage: Bacteria; Pseudomonadati; Verrucomicrobiota. The record is from RNAcentral.
GCUCGCGUGGCAGAAUUGGCAGACGCGCACGGCUCGGACCGUAUGGGGAAACCCCGUGUAGGUUCGAGGCCUCUCGCGAGCA